Molecule: ribosomal RNA, 1435 nt
Filed under: uncultured bacterium
Lineage: Bacteria
Description: bacterial SSU rRNA
Rfam family: Bacterial small subunit ribosomal RNA
Source: RNAcentral
CGCUAGCUACAGGCUUAACACAUGCAAGUCGAGGGGCAGCAUGGUCUUAGCUUGCUAAGGCCGAUGGCGACCGGCGCACGGGUGAGUAACACGUAUCCAACCUGCCGUCUACUCUUGGACAGCCUUCUGAAAGGAAGAUUAAUACAAGAUGGCAUCAUGAGUCCGCAUGUUCACAUGAUUAAAGGUAUUCCGGUAGACGAUGGGGAUGCGUUCCAUUAGAUAGUAGGCGGGGUAACGGCCCACCUAGUCUUCGAUGGAUAGGGGUUCUGAGAGGAAGGUCCCCCACAUUGGAACUGAGACACGGUCCAAACUCCUACGGGAGGCAGCAGUGAGGAAUAUUGGUCAAUGGGCGAGAGCCUGAACCAGCCAAGUAGCGUGAAGGAUGACUGCCCUAUGGGUUGUAAACUUCUUUUAUAAAGGAAUAAAGUCGGGUAUGGAUACCCGUUUGCAUGUACUUUAUGAAUAAGGAUCGGCUAACUCCGUGCCAGCAGCCGCGGUAAUACGGAGGAUCCGAGCGUUAUCCGGAUUUAUUGGGUUUAAAGGGAGCGUAGAUGGAUGUUUAAGUCAGUUGUGAAAGUUUGCGGCUCAACCGUAAAAUUGCAGUUGAUACUGGAUAUCUUGAGUGCAGUUGAGGCAGGCGGAAUUCGUGGUGUAGCGGUGAAAUGCUUAGAUAUCACGAAGAACUCCGAUUGCGAAGGCAGCCUGCUAAGCUGCAACUGACAUUGAGGCUCGAAAGUGUGGGGUAUCAAACAGGAUUAGAUACCCUGGUAGUCCACACGGUAAACGAUGAAUACUCGCUGUUUGCGAUAUACUGCAAGCGGCCAAGCGAAAGCGUUAAGUAUUCCACCUGGGGAGUACGCCGGCAACGGUGAAACUCAAAGGAAUUGACGGGGGCCCGCACAAGCGGAGGAACAUGUGGUUUAAUUCGAUGAUACGCGAGGAACCUUACCCGGGCUUAAAUUGCAGAUGAAUUACGGUGAAAGCCGUAAGCCGCAAGGCAUCUGUGAAGGUGCUGCAUGGUUGUCGUCAGCUCGUGCCGUGAGGUGUCGGCUUAAGUGCCAUAACGAGCGCAACCCUUGUUGUCAGUUACUAACAGGUUCCGCUGAGGACUCUGACAAGACUGCCAUCGUAAGAUGUGAGGAAGGUGGGGAUGACGUCAAAUCAGCACGGCCCUUACGUCCGGGGCUACACACGUGUUACAAUGGGGGGUACAGAGGGCCGCUACCACGCGAGUGGAUGCCAAUCCCCAAAACCUCUCUCAGUUCGGACUGGAGUCUGCAACCCGACUCCACGAAGCUGGAUUCGCUAGUAAUCGCGCAUCAGCCACGGCGCGGUGAAUACGUUCCCGGGCCUUGUACACACCGCCCGUCAAGCCAUGGGAGCCGGGGGUACCUGAAGUGCGUAACCGCGAGGAGCGCCCUAGGGUAAAACUGGA